RNAcentral lists this long non-coding RNA (734 nucleotides) under Homo sapiens (human). RNAcentral describes it as "HSALNT0351755". The record is from RNAcentral. Lineage: Eukaryota; Metazoa; Chordata; Mammalia; Primates; Hominidae.
ACUCACUCCUCCUCCGCCUCCAGCGCCACCUCGUAUCUCCUCAUUCCCGACAUGUCCUGGGCUCCGAACGUCUCCUGGGGAGCGGCAUGAUUGAAUCAGGGAUUCCCUAGCCCCAGGUCCCCUUCUCCGUCAUUCUCAGGACGAGGCUGCCCAGUUCUCAGGCAGAAAAAUGUGAAAAGAGAGACUGGCCUAGCCUCCCAGCCUACAUCUUUCUCCCAUCCUGGAUGUUUCCUGCCCUUGAAUGUUGGACUCCAAGUUCUUCAGUUUUGGAACUCGGACUGUCUCUCCUUGCUCCUCAGCCUGCAGACGGCCUAUUGUGGGACCUUGUGAUCGUGUUGUUGUGGUGGUAUUACUACUACUCAGCAAGAUUCUGGUUUUACUUCUCAUCUUGGGAGUUACCAUCAAGACGUUAGGUAUGGCUGUGUGACCCACUUUGGCCAAUGAAAUGUGAACAGAAAUGGCAUAUGUCACUUGUGGACAAAAACAUUUAAGCAAGAAUUUCCCUUGCUGUCUUCCUUGACUGGAGCGACCAUGGAAGCCUGUGUUGAGAUGAAGAGGCUGCCAACAGAUCAAAACACUUGAAAACUUGAGCAGCCACAUGGACUACAACUGUGCUGGAGACUUGCCUGGACCCACAGCAGGCUUGGUAUGCAUGGGGAAUAGAAUUUUGUUGUAUUACACUCCUCAGAUUUGGAUGUCAUUUGUUAUUACAGCAUUACCUAGCCUAUUCUGAC